GCUGAUUUAGUAUAUUUUGAUAAUAUGUGUGAUUGUAAAUCAUAAGAGGGUUUUGUCCAAUCAGAG
Molecule: transfer RNA, 66 nt
Filed under: Diplorchis sp.
Lineage: Eukaryota; Metazoa; Platyhelminthes; Monogenea; Polystomatidea; Polystomatidae
Description: tRNA-Tyr
Source: RNAcentral